GCAAGAAGACGAGAAAGCAAACAACGCCGCACAAGACGACGAACAACAAACCACCACACUUAGAUGAUGAAAUCACAAAGAAAAAAACCUAGAUCUAUGUGAAAGUCACUUAUUUAGAUUGAAAUAGAGAGAAAAAGAUGAAGAGGGGUGAUUUCAGGUCAAGAAUUAACCCAAAACCACCCCCCAAUGAAGAAACGGGAAGAGAAAACCUAAAGAGAGAAAAU
This 224-nucleotide long non-coding RNA is filed under the name Medicago truncatula (barrel medic). RNAcentral describes it as "long non-coding RNA (MTRU_LNC007911)". The record is from RNAcentral. Lineage: Eukaryota; Viridiplantae; Streptophyta; Magnoliopsida; Fabales; Fabaceae.